RNAcentral lists this ribosomal RNA (416 nucleotides) under uncultured bacterium. RNAcentral's name for it is "partial 16S ribosomal RNA". It matches the Rfam family "Bacterial small subunit ribosomal RNA", at positions 328 to 758 of the family's 1533-position model. The record is from RNAcentral.
UGGCCAGACUCCUACGGGAGGCAGCAGUGGGGAAUAUUGGGCAAUGGGCGCAAGCCUGACCCAGCAAUGCCGCGUGAAGGAAGAAGGCCUUCGGGUUGUAAACUUCUUUUAUCAGGGACGAAGGAUGUGACGGUACCUGAUGAAUAAGCUCCGGCUAACUACGUGCCAGCAGCCGCGGUAAUACGUAGGGAGCAAGCGUUAUCCGGAUUUACUGGGUGUAAAGGGCGCGUAGGCGGGAUGGCAAGUCAGAUGUGAAAUCCAAGGGCUCAACCCUUGAACUGCAUUUGAAACUGUAGUUCUUGAGUGUUGGAGAGGCAGGAGGAAUUCCGUGUGUAGCGGUGAAAUGCGUAGAUAUACGGGGGAACACCAGUGGCGAAGGCGGCCUGCUGGACAAUAACUGACGCUGAGGCGCGAAA